GAGAGUUAAACAGUACGUGAAAUUGUUGAAAGGGAAACGAUUGAAGUCAGUCAUACCAACGGGAAAUCAACCUCUUGAGUUUGGUCUCGUGGGUUUCGAAGAGUUUAAAAGCCUUCGGAUUUUCGAGAUUGGGCUCUUCUGGUGUACUUUCUCGUACGGUUAGUCAACAUCGGUUUUGAAUGUCAUAAAAUGACUGGAGGAAUGUGGCUUCGAUCUCGUAUUGAAGUGUUAUAACCUUUGGUAGAUGUGAUGUUUGAGACCGAGGAUUGCAACGGAUACCCUUCUGGGCUAUUCGUCUGAUCUCUGAUUGUUGCUUUGGUGCUGAAAGCUUGCUUAUGGUUAUCAAAGUCGAUGGUCAAUAGGUUAGAAUGGGUUAAAUUCGUUAAGGAUGUUGACGUAAUGGCUUUAAACGA
RNAcentral lists this ribosomal RNA (413 nucleotides) under uncultured Funneliformis. RNAcentral describes it as "partial 28S ribosomal RNA". Lineage: Eukaryota; Fungi; Glomeromycota; Glomeromycetes; Glomerales; Glomeraceae. The record is from RNAcentral.